Molecule: small RNA, 201 nt
Filed under: Frankia sp.
Lineage: Bacteria; Bacillati; Actinomycetota; Actinomycetes; Frankiales; Frankiaceae
Also listed under: 1 other name
Description: c-di-AMP sequence
Rfam family: c-di-AMP riboswitch aptamer (ydaO/yuaA leader)
About the family: This family represents a conserved RNA structure found upstream of the ydaO and yuaA genes in Bacillus subtilis and related genes in other bacteria. The ydaO/yuaA element is thought to act as a genetic "off" switch for the ydaO and yuaA genes in its native state.
Source: RNAcentral
CCGGGUGGCACGCCGAAUCCCGCCCCGCCCGGCGCACAUCAGAUCUGAGGGUGGGAGCGGGGGACCCAAGUGUUCCCGGGCGUUGUUUCUGGACGUCCUUGGGGUGAAGCCGUCAGCGCUUUGCGGCGCGGAUAUGUGUGCGGCCGGGCGAUUCCCAGCCCGAACCCGACAGCUAACUUCGUAGGCGUGGGGAGGGACAUU